RNAcentral lists this ribosomal RNA (464 nucleotides) under uncultured bacterium. RNAcentral describes it as "partial 16S ribosomal RNA". It matches the Rfam family "Bacterial small subunit ribosomal RNA", at positions 28 to 507 of the family's 1533-position model. The record is from RNAcentral.
GACGAACGCUGGCGGCGUGCUUAACACAUGCAAGUCGAACGGUAAGGCCCCAGCUUGCUGGGGUACACGAGUGGCGAACGGGUGAGUAACACGUGGGUGACCCGCCCCGCACUUCGGGAUAAGCCUGGGAAACUGGGUCUAAUACCGGAUAGGACCGCACCGUGAGGGUGUGGUGGAAAGUUUUUCGGUGUGGGAUGGGCCCGCGGCCUAUCAGCUUGUUGGUGGGGUAAUGGCCUACCAAGGCGGCGACGGGUAGCCGGCCUGAGAGGGUGGACGGCCACAUUGGGACUGAGACACGGCCCAGACUCCUACGGGAGGCAGCAGUGGGGAAUAUUGCACAAUGGGCGGAAGCCUGAUGCAGCGACGCCGCGUGGGGGAUGACGGCCUUCGGGUUGUAAACUCCUUUCACCAUCGACGAAGGUUUUCUGACGGUAGAUGGAGAAGAAGCACCGGCUAACUACGUG